GGCUGUCGGCUCCCGGCUCGGGGAGACGGUGUGAAGAAGCCGAGGGUGCGGGCGCUGACCUCCUCCUGUCACAUCGCUCCCCUCAGACAUGAUCCGGGGAGGCUCCUGGGAGGACAGAGGCUGGGAUCUCGUCCCGGGAGAGGUUGCCUUUGCUUGGAAGGUCUUCGUAAUGGAAAAAGAACAAUGAAAUCUCAAGCAGAUCUCUAGAUGCUAAACUAGACAAACUAAUCCUUAUUUAAUAGUAUUCAUAAUCAGUUUUCUUGUCUGGUACUACAAUACAGCACAACAAUGUAUGGAAGUGCUCGUACAAUCACUAAUUUGGAAGGCAGUCCUUCCAGAUCGCCUCGAUUGCCAAGAUCACCUCGUUUGGGCCACAGAAGAACAAGCAGUGGAGGAACAGGUACAGGUAAAACACUGUCAAUGGAGAAUAUCCAGUCCCUUAACGCAGCCUAUGCAACGUCUGGACCCAUGUACUUGAGUGACCAUGAGGGUGUCGCCUCUACUACUUUUCCAAAAGGGACUAUGACUCUUGGAAGGGCUACCAAUAGAGCUGUCUAUGGUGGAAGAGUCACAGCCAUGGGAAGCAGUCCAAACAUUGCCUCUGCUGGUCUUUCACACACGGAUGUCCUGUCCUACACUGACCAUAUAGGCUUGACAAGCUCUUCUCACCAUCAUCACCACCAUCACCAGGUACCUUCUAUGUUAAGGCAGGUGAGAGACAACACUAUGCUCGAUCUUCAGGUUCAACUGAAGGAUCUACAGAGGGAAAAUGAGCUUCUGAGAAAAGAGCUGGACAUAAAAGACAGCAAACUUGGAUCUUCCAUGAACAGUAUUAAAACGUUUUGGAGCCCAGAACUUAAGAAGGAAAGAGUCCUUCGAAAGGAGGAGGCUGCAAGGAUGUCUGUUCUGAAGGAGCAAAUGAGAGUAUCUCAUGAGGAAAAUCAGCACUUGCAGUUGACCAUCCAAGCCCUGCAAGAUGAGCUGCGGACUCAGAGGGACCUUAAUCAUCUUCUUCAACAGGAAAGUGGAAACCGAGGGGCAGAGCAUUUCACAAUUGAGCUCACGGAGGAGAAUUUCAGAAGGCUUCAGGCGGAGCAUGACCGGCAGGCCAAAGAACUUUUCCUUCUCAGAAAAACGUUAGAAGAAAUGGAACUGAGGAUAGAAACACAAAAACAGACACUAAGUGCCCGUGAUGAGUCCAUCAAAAAGCUUCUUGAAAUGCUUCAAAGCAAAGGGUUGCCUUCAAAAGGAAUGGAAGAAGAAAACGAGAAAACGCGAAGAAUAGUGGAGGCGGAAUCACAGCUUAAUCAUUUAGAAGUGAUUCUAGAUCAAAAGGAUAAAGAAAAUAUUCAUCUAAGAGAGGAGCUGCACAGACGGAAUCAACUCCAGUCCGAAUCGGCCAAGACCAAAGCUCUGCAGACGGUCAUCGAGAUGAAGAGAUCUCCAUCCCUGUGCUUUGAUCCAGAUUUUAUUUGGCAGGAUACCAAAAUAGCGUCCCUGGAAAGAAAUAUGAGAGAUCUAGAGGACGAAAUCCAAAUCAUUAAAACCAAUGGUGUCCUAAACAUAGAAGACCGCGAGGAAGAAAUCAAGCAGAUGGAAGUGUAUAAAAGUCAUUCAAAGUUUAUGAAAAGCAAAAUUGACCAGUUGAAGCUGGAACUGUCAAAGAAGGAAUCUGAACUCCUUGCCUUACAAACCAAGCUGGAGACUCUUGGCAAUCAGAACUCCGACUGCAAACAACACAUUGAAGUACUUAAGGAAUCUCUUACUGCCAAAGAACAGAGGGCUGCGAUCCUUCAGACGGAGGUGGAUGCAUUACGGCUGAGACUGGAAGAGAAGGAAUCCUUCUUAAACAAAAAGACCAAGCAGCUUCAGGACCUCACAGAAGAGAAGGGCACUUUGGCCGGAGAGAUCAGAGAUAUGAAGGAUAUGCUGGAAGUCAAAGAGAGGAAAAUUAAUGUCCUUCAGAAAAAGAUAGAAAAUCUUCAAGAGCAGCUUAGAGACAAAGACAAGCAACUUGGGAACCUGAAAGAUCGAGUCAAAUCCCUGCAGACGGAUUCCAGUAAUACGGACACUGCACUUGCAACCUUGGAGGAGGCCCUCUCUGAGAAGGAGAGAAUUAUCGAACGUUUAAAAGAACAAAGGGAACGAGAUGACAGAGAAAGACUAGAAGAGAUUGAAAACUACAAAAAGGAGAACAAAGAUCUAAAAGAAAAAGUGAACAGUUUGCAGGCAGAGUUGACGGAAAAAGAGACCAGCUUGAUUGAUCUGAAGGAACAUGCAUCUACUCUGGCUUCAUCAGGAGUGAAGCGAGACUCCAAGCUGAAAUCUCUAGAAAUGGCCAUCGAGCAGAAGAAGGAGGAAUGUAGUAAGUUGGAAGCCCAGUUGAAGAAGCAAGCUGAGCAGUUGUUCAAUCAGAUGUACAAUCCUAAUUCGAACCUUCUGACAGCAGUUUUGGCUCAUGAGGCUGAAGAGGAGGCCAGGAUGCACCCGGAGCUCAAUGAUCGACUCAAACAACUGGAUAAAGAAGUUUCUUACUACAGAGAGGAGUGCAGCAAAACCCAGGCCGAGGUGGACAGGCUCUUACAGAUUCUCAAAGAGGUGGAAAGCGAGAAGAAUGACAAAGACAAGCAGAUAGCUGAAUUGGAAAGCUAUGGGAUCAUGAAAGAUCAGAACAAGAAAUCUGUCAAUCUGAAGCACAAUCAUCAAAUGGAGAAGAAAAAGAACGCAGAUGACCCUCGCCGGAGGGAUGAUAAUAUACCGGACAACUCGCAACAUCUACAGAUGGAUGAUCUCAUGAAUGCUCUUGAAAAGACAAGACAGGAGCUGGAUUCCACCAAAGCUCGUCUCUCCUCAACUCAACAAUCACUUGCUGACAAGGAAGCACACCUGAACAAUUUGAUGAUAGACCGCAGAAAACAACUUGAAGAGAUCCUGGAGAUGAAGCAGCAAGCUCUGCUGGCGGCAAUCAGUGAAAAAGAUGCCAACAUCGCCUUGCUGGAACUAUCUGCCUCAAAAAAGAAGAAAACACAGGAUGAAGUGAUUGCUCUAAAGAGAGAGAAAGACAGACUAGUCCACCAGCUGAAACAGCAGACUCAGAACAGGAUGAAGCUAAUAGCAGACAACUAUGAAGAUGACCAUCACCACCAUCACCACCAUCACCAUCACCACCAUCAUCGUUCUCCUGGGAGAACGCUCUCUAGCCAUAGACCUUCUCCAGAUCAGGACGACGAGGAGGGGAUAUGGGCAUAACAGCUCCAGCAAACCAAAGUUCCAGUUUUAUUUUGUUGGAUGAUCCCGUCUCUGCCGGAGUCACAUCGUCACGACAAGAUCUCAUGCUGUACAUUGAUCAUCUAUCCAACCUUUGCCUAGAGUGAGAACCCCAGAACUUUGAUCUAUAAGCCAGUUAGGGAAAGAGGAACAGGGGAAGGAGAUGGAAGACAUCUGAUGAAAACAAGGAACAACAUUUAACACCAAAGCAGUUAAGAAACAGCAAGAUUCAGCAGAGAAGUGGAAACCGUUCCAAAUUGAUCAAUGUGGAUCCUCAUCUUGUUGAUGGAACGCUGCAGAAUACGACAUCUGUGACUAAUAUGUGGCUGUUGUAUUGUGUUCAGAAGUACAGAUAUGCUGAGCAUCAAAGCAGCAUGUAUUGUGUGUGUAACACAUGGUCUGAACCCACAGGAAGUUCCAGGCAAUUAGAGAGUAAUUCAUAUUGGCGAUGUUCACUCUACAAUAUUGUCACUUGAACAAGUUCUGCCUGUAAUCUAAACUGCCAUCUACACCACGUGGUGUAAAAUAAGGACUGUUUAAUGAUGUCAUGAGAAAAUUAACUGUGCAUCCUUCUUCCAAAGAUAAAAAAAAAACUCUCCCCUAUCCUCUCAGAUUAGUUGAUAACAACAGGCUUUCGAUUUCCAAGAUCAAAUGCGGGUGUUUAUGCUAGUCAAAAAAAAAAUAAUUGCCGAAGUCGUUGGUUGGAUCUGAUUUUCCUAAGCCUUAAAACAGAUGGCCGAUCCCUGCCAAUGUUCAUUACAAAGUUCCCAAUGUGCUCUGGGCCAGGUUGGACAAUCAAAUCAAUAUACAGGCAAUAUUAACUCCUUGCUGCCAGUUUCCUGCAACUCAGCAAAUGGUCUUUGCAGUGUCUUUAGGCAGCAAAAGGGUUAAAAGGAAUACGUAUUAAAAAGUGGCAUGUUUCUCUGACAAUGCAUGGGAUAUCUAAACUAUAAAAAUGCUUAAAAUAUAUACUAAGGAUGGUGGUCACCAGAGGGUAUAGCUGAGAAGACAAGAACAUAUACCAAGGAUGGUGGUCAUCAGUAGGUAUAGGUGAGAAUGCAAAAACACAUACCAAGGAUCGUGGUCACCACUAGGUAUAGCUGGCAAGACAGUGACAUAUACCAAGGAAGGUGGUUACCAGUGAAUAUAGCUGAGAAGAGAAGAACAUAUACCAAGGAAGAUGGUCAGCAGUGGGUGUAGCUGAGAAGUCAAGAACAUAUACCAAGGAAAGUGGUCAUCAGUGAGCAUAGCUGAGAAGGCAAGAACGUAUACCAAGGAUGGUGGUCACCGUAGGUAUCACUGAAAAGGCAUAAAAACAUAACAAGGAUAAUAAUCAUCAGUGGGUAUCGCUGAGAAGAUUAGCAUAUACCAAGGUUGAUGGUCACCAAUAGCUAUAGCUAAGAAGACAAGAACAUAUACCAAGGAAAGUGGUCAUCAGUGAGUAUAACUGAGAAGGCAAGAACGUAUACUGAGGAUGGUGAUCACCAGUGGGUAUAACUGAGAAGACAAGAACUUUUUUGGGUAAAGAUGGUAGAAUUUGAAGACUGUGACAUUAGAAAGAGUCACUCAUGAGGACAUUAAUAUGGUGAUGUUUUAAGAAGUAAUAUGCAUUGAAUUUAGGUUUUGGAUCAAAGAAAAUCAAAGUAUUUUUCUGUUUUCAUCUGUGUUUUGCAUGUUAAAUUUAACUUGUGAAAUGGGACCCAAAAAUGUUUACAUGCAAAACAGAUUUCCUUAUUGUAUAUGUGUCAGGCGUGUGUGUUUUUAAGAUAUGUAUGUCAUUUAAAUAGAAAUAUAUUCUGAUAUUGAAGUCAAGAUAAAAACUCUCCCAUGUUGACCCAAAUCAUUUUGGGUUAUUUUCUGCUAUCAUUUUUUUUUUUACCAAAAACAUAUCCUAAUGGUAUGCCUUUCUAUGGCCAUUGAAAACUGGAAAUAUUUAAUGUGCCAUAAGUAUAUGAUCGAUGGGGAUCUGAUGACUGGGAUACCCACCAAUCUGGAGAGCAAGGGUGUAUGGUGCAUUGUUCUUGGCGUAUUUGGCUUUUUCCAUGUCUCCAAUGAACUUGAUUGGAGGGUGUCCAACUUACCCUUCCCCAGUUGGAACCCCACUGAUCAGACAUUUAUAUCAAAAUGCAAUAAAAAUGUAUUUAAUUUCCAACAACAUGGCACAGUUGUCAUGGCUUUUUGUUUUUACAAGAUUUUUGUAAAAGAUUCUUACUGAUUAGAAUGGAUCCCACUGACCCCUGAUUAGAUUUAUAGAGCCUUUUCAUGUGGCCUAUAUGAAGACUUUUACUUCAAGUACAACCACCAUUUCCAAAAUAACAACACUUUUGGAAAUUAGUACAUCUUCACCCUUGAAGUAUAUCAAUUCCAAUAAAUAGAGUCAAAGAGAUUGAAAACCUUAAACAUUGAAAAAGUUGUUUGCAUUUAGGUUUGAGAUAAAUGGUCAUAUCCACUUGUUUAGUGGUUUGCAUGGUUUCAUAUAGGAAGAAGCUCCUUGUAUAGAAAGAAAUAUAUUAUAUAUAAUUAUAAGCAAGGGUUGCCUUAUGUCCGGCCAUUCUGUUUGUACAGGGCAUACACACAGUAAUGGGAGUUUGCAAUGACUGUUAUCGACAUAAGUAGUUUAUAUUGUCCUAUCAUUUGUAGAUCUUAUUUAUUGGUGAAACAGGUUGCUCAUUGGAUCUUCAAAAUCAGAAGCCGGAUUAUCCAUUAUGUCAUUGAUGAAAGUUUGACUGACGUCAUGUAUUCUCCAUAGGUAGAGUAAUUUCUCUCAAUAUUUUCUGUGGUGCACUGGACAUCUCCCUAGUCCCUAUUGCCUUUAUUACUACAUUUUAGGGUAGAUUUGCACCUCCGAUUAACUGAUCCAGCAGGAAGUUCUGGUAGAGAACAGCCUGCUGGAGUUUACUGGGUACAGUCUAGUCAUAUACUUCCGUUCAUCGCUGGAUCUCAUUGACUAUGCUUUCCAGCAUGAAUGCCGAGUUUUGGUCGGAGAAAAGGCUAUGUAUGCAGCAGAGACUUAGGAACAGCCUGCCGGAUCAGUUAAACAGAGGUGUGAACCUACCCUUAUUAUUAUUUCGCUUGAUCUGAGAUGCCAAAUUGGCUUUGACAUAACAUUGCAAGAUAAUACGACCUGGAUCGGUAAAUACCUUCAUAGUUAAUUCUACAUACAAUUAUACUGGCAAUAGCCUCGUAGUUCUUCCUCAUUUCCCUUGCUGAUGCUUCCACACAUCUAUGGGGUCAACAAAAAAGUUACAAAAAAAUAAAAUGUACAUAUUAUGUUAUUUUAAGACACCAUUAAAGGGUUUGUCUCAUCAAAGACAAAACUUUUAAAUAAUAUUAAUCGCUGUAAACACCAAAUCUCACAGUAGAAAGGUGUAUUACUCAAGGUUCAAGAGGUUAGGCUCAUUUCAUAACAUUCCAUCAUUAACACAUCUGCUUAGAGUCACAUAAGUCGAGGAUUCCAUACACAUAAGAGCAAAGUUGACCAAACUCACCGAUUUCAGUGGGGCUGGCCCGACCAAGCGGUUUGACUUUUGGGCUAGCCCUGUGGGCAUUAUCCUGGUGGUCCCCUGAUUUUAACCCUUUAAUCCCUAUGCAGGGAUCUGGCCUUUACUGCAGAAGAGCCACCAGGCUACUACCUCUUGGAAUAGUCCCAGUUGGCUGCUGACCCACUGAAGUCAGAAGCACCCUCGCAAAGCACCGAGAGAUCAGGCAAUUCACAUAGUCCAGAAACAGGCAGAGGUCAGGGCAGGCAGAGCAUGUAUAAAUCCAUAAAAGAGUCCAGGUAGGCAGGACAUGGUCAGUACAGUGACCUGGCAUGGGUUAGGUCAGGCGGCAGAGAGUCGUGAUCCAGGAAACAGGCAGAAGUUGGUAUGCAGAUGGAUUACAGCUCUUUUGCAGGGCCUGGCCACUAAGUAAAAUAAUCUAUUGCUCUGGCAGGGGAUGGAACAAACAGCCCACCAUAGAUAAGAGGGCAGAUGAGCUCAAAAUUCAAACAUCUGAACACAGAGCAAAAAGGGGAAUUAACCCUUGCAGUGCUGCAGGGAGAGAUUCAGUGAAUAGACACUAAUACAGUUACACACAGGAAAGGGUCCUAAUAACCAGGUGAGUGGAAGCUAGGUGAGUGAUGCAGGAUCUGUGCCAACCCUGAUAGUGAGAUGGCGGCGGACAUGAAGCAUUGCCAUUAAAUGUAUACAGUAGAAUAUAUCUAAUAUGAAGGUUGAUCAAGGAUAAAAUACAUGUUGUAACCUACCAUUCUAGAUAUACCGAAUUUCAUCUGGUCCACAGGGUUUUCUAAAUGCUUUCUAUGCACACCUGACUUCAGGAAAUCCGAUAACUACAGAGUUUACAGCACUCAGGUAUCUGAAAUCAGUUAUCACAGCAAUGAAUUAAUUCUGUCGAGGUGUGCACACACUUACUUGUUGAUUUCUUGGUCUGAUAGAUCAACAUGUAUUUUACAUAUAAACAAAAUUGCUAUUCCUUCAUAGACCAUAUUAUAGAGAGGGAGGAAGGGUGCCAGGAAGAGAGCAUGAUGCAAAAUCUAAUAUUUACAUAAAAUUAGCUACAAUAUACAGUACUGUUCAAAAAAAUAGUAGUGAGUUUAAAAAAGCAAAUAAACUCCAAAAUCAUUAUAAUAACUUUUAUUUCCAUAAAUCCAAAUGCACUGUAAAUACUACACAUUCAAUUCCAAAUCAAGACAAUAACAAAAAAUUUCCAGGUUUACAGAAAGUAAAGAAUAUUAGACUGUUCAAAAAACUGCAGUGCCAGCAUUCUACUUUACUGAAAAAUGCAAUGUGUAUACUAAAAAAAUGUUUGAGAUUGUGCUUUACUUUGAAUGACUAAUCUAAUAUAUAGCGGCCUAACCAUUGUUUCUGAGAACUGCUUGACAUCUGUGUUGCGUGAAGUCGACCAACUUCUGGCUCCUCUAAACAGGUAUUACAGUCCAGGACGAUGGGACUACAUUCCACAGUUCUUCAUCAUUUUUGGGUUUUGCCUCAUAAACCGCAUUUUUUUGUGACCCCACAGGUACUCUAUGGGAUUGAGGUCAAGGAUUAGGCUAGCCGCUCCAUUACCUCAACCCUGUUUGUCUGUAACCUAGAAGGUGUUCUCUUACUGGUGUGUUUUGGGGUCAUUCUCGUGUUGAAACACCCAUUUCAAGGGCUUUUCUUCUUUGGCAUAGUGUCACCACCAGACAUCUG
Molecule: RNA transcript, 8459 nt
Organism: Bufo gargarizans (Asiatic toad)
Lineage: Eukaryota; Metazoa; Chordata; Amphibia; Anura; Bufonidae
Gene: ERC2
Gene name: ELKS/RAB6-interacting/CAST family member 2
Exons: 22
Source: RefSeq, a predicted model, not a curated record